Molecule: ribosomal RNA, 301 nt
Filed under: uncultured bacterium
Lineage: Bacteria
Description: partial 16S ribosomal RNA
Rfam family: Bacterial small subunit ribosomal RNA
Source: RNAcentral
CAGUCGCCGCGGUAAUACAGAGGGUGCGAGCGUUAAUUGGAUUUACUGGGCGUAAAGCGUGCGUAGGCGGCUUUUUAAGUCGGAUGUGAAAUCCCUGAGCUUAACUUAGGAAUUGCAUUCGAUACUGGGAAGCUAGAGUAUGGGAGAGGAUGGUAGAAUUCCAGGUGUAGCGGUGAAAUGCGUAGAGAUCUGGAGGAAUACCGAUGGCGAAGGCAGCCAUCUGGCCUAAUACUGACGCUGAGGUACGAAAGCAUGGGGAGCAAACAGGAUUAGAUACCCGAGUAGUCCCUGUCUCUUAUAC